AAACCAUCAAGCCCUGCUUGGUCUUGGACGCGGUCGAGUGACCCGUCCGUAACCCGUUGGCGGUGCAGUCCGGCUCCAAGCGUAGCAAGAAUUUCGCUUCGGGAGUCCGCGGCGUCUGCCAGGAAACACCACCCAAA
Molecule: unclassified non-coding RNA, 137 nt
Filed under: uncultured Dothideomycetes
Lineage: Eukaryota; Fungi; Ascomycota; Dothideomycetes
Description: sequence contains ITS2
Source: RNAcentral